GCAGAGUAGACAUUCGAGCGUUAAGUGUUGUAUGGACGGGGAGUUGCCAUACGGACGAAGGGAAGACCGCGGUUCGAAUGUCGCAUCCCGCUGC
This 94-nucleotide non-coding RNA is filed under the name pig gut metagenome. Its description in RNAcentral is "THF riboswitch". It matches the Rfam family "THF (Tetrahydrofolate) riboswitch aptamer". From Rfam's summary of the family: THF riboswitch presents a pseudoknot that joins P1-P2 and the loop of P3 and two THF binding. The record is from RNAcentral.